RNAcentral lists this ribosomal RNA (544 nucleotides) under Williamsia sp. Its description in RNAcentral is "bacterial SSU rRNA". It matches the Rfam family "Bacterial small subunit ribosomal RNA", at positions 158 to 716 of the family's 1533-position model. Lineage: Bacteria; Bacillati; Actinomycetota; Actinomycetes; Mycobacteriales; Nocardiaceae. The record is from RNAcentral.
UGGGUCUAAUACCGAAUAUGACCACAGAAUGCAUGUUUUGUGGUGGAAAGCUCCGGCGGUAUGGGAUGGGCCCGCGGCCUAUCAGCUUGUUGGUGGGGUAAUGGCCUACCAAGGCGACGACGGGUAGCCGGCCUGAGAGGGCGACCGGCCACACUGGGACUGAGACACGGCCCAGACUCCUACGGGAGGCAGCAGUGGGGAAUAUUGCACAAUGGGCGCAAGCCUGAUGCAGCGACGCCGCGUGAGGGAUGACGGCCUUCGGGUUGUAAACCUCUUUCACCAGGGACGAAGCGAGAGUGACGGUACCUGGAGAAGAAGCACCGGCCAACUACGUGCCAGCAGCCGCGGUAAUACGUAGGGUGCGAGCGUUGUCCGGAAUUACUGGGCGUAAAGAGCUCGUAGGCGGUUUGUCGCGUCGUUCGUGAAAACUUGGGGCUUAACUCCAAGCGUGCGGGCGAUACGGGCAGACUUGAGUACUACAGGGGAGACUGGAAUUCCUGGUGUAGCGGUGAAAUGCGCAGAUAUCAGGAGGAACACCGGUGGC